This 400-nucleotide ribosomal RNA is filed under the name uncultured bacterium. RNAcentral describes it as "bacterial SSU rRNA". It matches the Rfam family "Bacterial small subunit ribosomal RNA", at positions 29 to 416 of the family's 1533-position model. The record is from RNAcentral.
AAUCAACGCUGGCGGCGUGCCUAACACAUGCAAGUCGAACGCGAAAGCCCCGCAAGGGGCAAGUAGAGUGGCAAACGGGUGAGUAACACGUGGGUGACCUGCCUCAAAGUGGGGGAUAACGACUCGAAAGGGUCGCUAAUACCGCAUAACAUCCUGCCUUUGGAUAGGCGGAGAUCAAAGCCGGGGAUCGCAAGACCUGGCGCUGGGGAGAGGGGCCCGCGGCCGAUUAGCAGUUGGUGAGGUAACGGCUCACCAAGGCAGAGAUCGGUAGCCGGCCUGAGAGGGCACACGGCCACACUGGCACUGAAACACGGGCCAGACUCCUACGGGAGGCAGCAGUGGGGAAUCUUGCACAAUGGGGCAACCCUGAUGCAGCGACGCCGCGUGAGCGAUGAAGCCC